CGGAUCGUCCACACGAAGCUUCCGUCUGAUCAGCUCCUCACGAAUGCUAGUUCGUGAUUUCACCCUUUUGAUGGCAGAUGUUGAUCGAACUCCUUCGAUCGAUGUGUGCCGACUUCUCGAAUACUCUGGAUCAUCUGCACAGUUGCUUGAGAGGUUGAUGGAUCUCUCCCUGAAAUUUGGUGGACUCACGACACUCGUGGCACACCAAUCUUACUUCCCGAACCCUAGGUAGAAACCCUAGGGUACACACCAAAAACCCUGCGCCCAAUUUUCUCUCUUUUCUUUCUUUUUCUCUCGAAAGGUUUUGGACCU
This 312-nucleotide long non-coding RNA is filed under the name Elaeis guineensis (African oil palm). RNAcentral's name for it is "long non-coding RNA (EGUI_LNC039588)". The record is from RNAcentral. Lineage: Eukaryota; Viridiplantae; Streptophyta; Magnoliopsida; Arecales; Arecaceae.